RNAcentral lists this long non-coding RNA (482 nucleotides) under Aedes aegypti (yellow fever mosquito). RNAcentral's name for it is "uncharacterized LOC125505916 (LOC125505916)". The record is from RNAcentral. Lineage: Eukaryota; Metazoa; Arthropoda; Insecta; Diptera; Culicidae.
CUUUGACAUCUCGGCGGAAAACAUCUUGAAGACAACUUCCCAAGGAGGAACCAGAGGCGCAAAGCACGACAUCCAACAAGAACAAAUGGCUGAUGCUGGCGAUGGUAAUUCUGCUGCCGCUGCUGGCACCGAGGGAUCAGACGUUGACCUGGUACGGGAAGAGGACCUGGCCCUGGCAGAGGAAGCCCUCGGAAAGUUGACCCAACUGUUGGACGAUCCCCGGAUGGACACCGAAGAGUUGCGUCAGCUGUUGGAACUGUGCAACGACAAACUUCAGCUCAUCGUGGAGCAAGCAUUCGAAGGGAUGUCCGACGAGGUGGCCGCGUUUCUGCAGGAGCUGAUGAUGGCCCAGCUGCACGGGGAACCCUAUUACAGGGUACAGGGGGAUCGCUUGGUGGACGUGGUGCGGAAACUGAGGGACAUUGGCGUGCUGGAGGUGUCGCCGGAUGACGAAAGUUUGGUUAGGAUUGUUUUGUAGGGGA